AUUGAACGCUGGCGGCAUGCCUUACACAUGCAAGUCGAACGGUAACAGGUCUUCGGAUGCUGACGAGUGGCGAACGGGUGAGUAAUACAUCGGAACGUGCCUAGUAGUGGGGGAUAACUACUCGAAAGAGUGGCUAAUACCGCAUGAGAUCUACGGAUGAAAGCAGGGGAUCGCAAGACCUUGUGCUACUAGAGCGGCCGAUGGAAGAUUAGGUAGUUGGUGGGAUAAAAGCUUACCAAGCCGACGAACUGUAGCUGGUCUGAGAGGACGAUCAGCCACACUGGGACUGAGACACGGCCCAGACUCCUACGGGAGGCAGCAGUGGGGAAUUUUGGACAAUGGGCGCAAGCCUGAUUCAGCAAUGCCGCGUGCAGGAUGAAGGCCUUCGGGUUGUAAACUGCUUUUGUACGGAACGAAAAGCCCCGGGUUAAUACCCUGGGGUCAUGACGGUACCGUAAGAAUAAGCACCGGCUAACUACGUGCCAGCCGCCGCCGUAA
Molecule: ribosomal RNA, 498 nt
Filed under: uncultured bacterium
Lineage: Bacteria
Description: partial 16S ribosomal RNA
Rfam family: Bacterial small subunit ribosomal RNA
Source: RNAcentral